Non-coding RNA from Pelobates cultripes (western spadefoot toad), 1202 nucleotides. The record is from the annotation of a GenBank genome assembly. NCBI's taxonomy places the organism in Eukaryota, Metazoa, Chordata, Amphibia, Anura, Pelobatidae.
CUGUGAUGCUCUGAGGCUGCUCGCAUCCUCUGGCACUGGAAACCUGCAGCAUAUGGAAGGCAAGAUGGAUUACUUUAAGUAUCAGGAAAUCGUAAGAGAAAAUAUCAUGCCGACUGUGACCUUCCAACAAGGCAAUUAUCCCAAGCAUACCUCAAAUUCCAUCAAGCCUUGGUUGCAGUAAAAGUCCUGGAAAAUUCUACAGUGGCCAUCAGAGUCACUUGAACCCAACAGAAAAUCUCUGGUGGGAUUUGAAGAAGGUGGUUGCCGCACACAACCCAAGAAUACUACUGAACUUGAGGCAAUUUCUUAUAAGCAAUUGGCUAAUAUUCCUCAGGAAAGCUGUCAGAAGUUGGUGACUGGCUAUGCUUCUCAUAACAGCAAAAGGGUGCUCUUCUAAGUUUUAAAGAUGUUUGCCAUGAAGGGGUUGAAUAAUUUUGAGACUGGAGAAGUGUCAGGAUUCCUUAGAGACCCAACACGCAGGAUGUAAUAGAAAAGCGUAUAGUGGGCCUUAGAAUGGCCGGACUUAAUGCCAGACCGAUAAAGAAUGAUCGGGGACAAGCCAAGGUCAAGGGAACCAGAAAAAACUGAUUGCGAGAUUACCAAAGCUGAGUCAGGAAUACAGAAAUGAGAAUAGUCAGAAAGCCGAGGUCAAGACACAAGAACACACUGAAAAGCGAAGCACUAUUGGGAGCUGUGAGUAGAAAUACAACAGGGCAAAGAACUAUGGUUGAAUCUGCCUUUUAUAGGCUGGAUCUCUAAAAAUGUGAAGCCACGCCCCCAAACAUCCAAGUUUGAACGUUUUGGCGGGCCGUGGCGUCAUUAGCAUCAUGACGUCGGCGGGCACGCACCGCAUCAAAAAAGGGGGCGAGGUAACUGCGGCCGGCGUUGUAAAUGCUGGAGUGGAGACUGGAAGCAGGAGAAUGGCCAGUAAUGUGAGCAUGACAAAACCCCCCUCACUAGAACCGCCCACCGGAUGGGAAGGACCUGGACGUGAGUGAAAACGGGUGUGAAAUUACCUCAGAAGACAAGCAGCGUCAGAGGACUUGACCCAAGACUGUUCUUCUGGACCGUACCGCUUCCAAUCAAACAGAUACUGGAGACUACCACGGGACAUGCGAGAAUCCAAAAUGGACCCUACUUCAUUCUUCUCCUGAUCAUCGACUUGAACAGGGGAAGGAGGAACGAUCUCACUGGUAAAACGG